CUGUGCCUCACCUGCUCUGAAAAGUGGGGAAAUAAGAAGCCCCACCUCAGAAGGAUGUUGUGAUACAUGUAAAGCACUGUAUGCAGGUCCUGGCAAAGGAUGGUUAAAAUGAAGAAAUAAAAACAAGAAAGUAACUGGAAUUACAAUAUCAAGAAUUGAAGCAACUGGAACUCUCAUGAAGGAUACCAGGAUCACCUGUGGAAUUCACAUCCUUUGGACUACUUGAGAUUCCCUACCACGUCUACAUGGUCCAAUCCUCACUGAGACUCACCUUCCAGUCCA
RNAcentral lists this long non-coding RNA (282 nucleotides) under Equus caballus (horse). RNAcentral's name for it is "lncRNA (ENSECAG00000049750.1)". Lineage: Eukaryota; Metazoa; Chordata; Mammalia; Perissodactyla; Equidae. The record is from RNAcentral.